UAUCACUUAAGAAAACAGUAACACUGUAUAGUUCCUACUUCUUCAAGGUCUUGAGCAAAGCAUAAAUUCUCAUGAAAACGAAGUCACUGCACUUCAAACAUCAGACAGCGAAGUAGGUAAGUCUUACUGUUGCUUGUAGUGCUGAUUUUACCAUAUUUUGUAAUUUAUAGGCUUUUUCUUUUUUUCUCUCCUGCUUUGCUCAGUAAUUCAAAUAAGUAUUUUCUCAGGUCUUAAAUAUAAAAUUGUCAAAUAUUGUAAAAUAGUGCAAUAUACUGAGAAGGGGAUAUUGUUACUAACUUGUGAUUAAUUUUCAGGUUAAGUCUACAGAGCUGCACUUCAUUUUUUCUGAGAACUCUGCGCUUUCUUGUUUAUUCUUUCUGCAAGUGGAGUGGAUCGUGAUCUGGCUCGUUGUUCCUUUUUCCUAUGCAUAUACUUCUUUGAGAAUUGCUUCUAAAGAGGUAUAGGGCAUGGGAAAAUGGGGCAACAGAGGUACUUCACCACUCAUCUCGAACAGCAUCGUGAAGGCAGCGGCAGAAAUGUUUGGAGAAAGCAGACGGGCAAAGAAAUGAAAGGUGCCGGGAUCAGCCCCCCCAGAAUCCAGGUGUCUUGGAAGAAGAAGUAGAAAAUCUCUUUGCUCAUUUUAUUUAAUAGAAAAACAGUCAUUAAACACAAUUUUUAUGUAUUUAUUUUAUUAAAGUAAUUUCCAAUUACUUUACUCUAAAUAGCAAUGUGUCACAUCAGUUUUGGGGGGAAAAGUAUUGGUUUUAUGAAACAAUGUAACUGUACAUAAUGCUUGUCAAAUAAAUAUUUGAUGUUUCAGUCA
RNAcentral lists this long non-coding RNA (823 nucleotides) under Parus major (Great Tit). RNAcentral describes it as "lncRNA (ENSPMJG00000003407.1)". The stretch from base 409 to 484 matches the Rfam family "mir-202 microRNA precursor family". The record is from RNAcentral. Lineage: Eukaryota; Metazoa; Chordata; Aves; Passeriformes; Paridae.